This 720-nucleotide long non-coding RNA is filed under the name Salmo salar (Atlantic salmon). RNAcentral's name for it is "lncRNA (ENSSSAG00000095114.1)". The record is from RNAcentral. Lineage: Eukaryota; Metazoa; Chordata; Actinopteri; Salmoniformes; Salmonidae.
UUGCAGGAGAGUAUUUAGAAGUUGAGGUUUAGGAAAAUAUUUUAAAAAGAUAUGCGAAGAAAAAGAUGUAAAAAGAUAUAUACAAGGACACGACAGGUCAAAGACGUCUGAUUGCUACGCCAUCUUGGAUUUAUGUGUGGAUUAAUUGUCGGAGUAGAGGACCUUGUGCAUUUCAGCGAGACUAUUCAAGCCAUCGACUCACUGAUGGUUGAAGAUGAUGAGCGAUUGACAAAUGCAGUCUGGAAUCUGCUGGCAUCACAGCACAACAUCACUCUAAGCACCGUCAGAAGACAGUUGAAGAAACUUGAGUGGACUUAUGGAAAGGCUCUGUAAGGGCCAGUCAAGGUGGAAGUUUGAAUUGAUCAUGACAUCCUUUGACCUGUGGGGGAGCAGUGAACUAUUCUCCUCUGGAGUAUGGGCCCUGAGAAACCUGAUCCACAGGAUGCCGACCACCCCUCCCUCCUCCCUCUAUGCCCACCCACCAGCUUUCCCGGCCUUUUCCUCCACCACACCACCCGCCCCCCCCUGUUCCCCGUACCCCUCCCCACCAUGCUCCCCAGGCCCUGGGGUGAAGGGGAUUGGAGGUUCCGGAGGGGUGACCCUGCGUUCUCCAGCCACUCGUCACCUCACCCACCUGGACCCCUGGAGGAGGCAUAGCUGGGAGCCUGUGGCUGUACUGACAGUGCAGCAGCAGGGGACGGAGCCCAGCGACAACCACAG